CACAACAAGAUGCUAC
RNAcentral lists this ribosomal RNA (16 nucleotides) under Acinetobacter sp. 1245249. RNAcentral's name for it is "partial 16S ribosomal RNA". Lineage: Bacteria; Pseudomonadati; Pseudomonadota; Gammaproteobacteria; Moraxellales; Moraxellaceae. The record is from RNAcentral.